RNAcentral lists this transfer-messenger RNA (390 nucleotides) under Trebonia kvetii. It matches the Rfam family "transfer-messenger RNA". From Rfam's summary of the family: Bacterial tmRNA, also known as 10Sa RNA or SsrA, is named for its dual tRNA and mRNA-like properties. Its role is to liberate the mRNA from a stalled ribosome. The record is from Rfam by way of RNAcentral. Lineage: Bacteria; Bacillati; Actinomycetota; Actinomycetes; Streptosporangiales; Treboniaceae.
GGGGAUGAACGGUUUCGACUUCGGUGGUUAAUCCAGGGGAAGCGAGCCGAGGGUGGCGGACGUAACCUCGUAAAAAUGCGACCGCAAACCACAAGUGCCAACUCAAAUAGCACUGUCAAGGUCCCCAGGACCGCUCUCGCUCUUGCUGCCUAAGCAAGUCUGAGGGUUUGACUGUCAGCCCGGGAGCGCCUUCGGCCCGGAAUCUGGCAUCAACUAGAAGGCUCAACUAGCCAGCCCGGUCACGGGGCAGGCUAGGAAAUCAAACAGUGACUGAGCCCGUCGGCGUCUUGCCUGCGUGAUCGCCGGGGCUGAGAAAAACACAGCAGGCUGCGCUCGGAGAAGACUUGGAAAGGUCCCGAAGGACCCGGGUUCGAUUCCCGGCAUCUCCAA